This is a long non-coding RNA of Haliotis rubra (blacklip abalone), 472 nucleotides long. RefSeq lists it as uncharacterized. The record is from RefSeq and is a predicted model, not a curated record. The transcript has 3 exons. NCBI's taxonomy places the organism in Eukaryota, Metazoa, Mollusca, Gastropoda, Lepetellida, Haliotidae.
AGAAAUUGCACAGUCAAACGAUGACUGCGAGAAAAGAUGGUACAACAUCCAGUCCAAGUCAAGGCAAGAAAUAUCUGCUUUCAAGAGACAGCUCAGUGGCACUGAAGUCAGGAAGCUGCUGUCGUUGAAGCUGAAGCCUGCUUCCCCCUGGAUGUGCUAGCCUCACCCCAGCCCAGCUGUGCAGCUACUGCAGCAUUCUCCACUCAAGUUCUACCCUGCACAAUGAACGGGCACAUCAGUGACAAAGAACUUUCCAGGAAAAAAACAUUGUUGCAGAUUGAUGUGCUUCAGCUUCAGAAAGAAUUAUUAAUGCUUAAAUUGGAAAAGAUGAAGACAGAUCAAUCUGAUAAGUAAAUGCAAGAACUAUGUCUGUACAUGCUUUCCAAUAUCAAAAUUGUUUGAAUUACUACAGGGGUAACAUGGUUAUAGUAGAGAUAUUGAAGUUACUCCUUAAAAAUUAUGUUUGUACUGA